GAUUCUUACUUCUCAGCUUGCUGUUGAAUAAUGGAUAUAACCACUUUGAAUCGAGGGCAACUCACACUAAUGGGAUCUGCAUUCUGUACGAUGCUUACAAUGCAUUUUACAAUGCAGCUCCUAUCUCAGCAUCUUUUUUACUGGAAAAACCCAAAGGAACAGAAGGCCAUAAUAAUUAUUAUCCUUAUGGCUCCAAUAUAUGCCAUUGACUCAUUUGUGGGUUUGUUGGAUGUUCAGGGGAGUAAGGCAUUCUUCAUGUUUUUGGACUCCGUUAAGGAAUGUUAUGAGGCUUUGGUGAUUGCCAAGUUCCUGGCUUUGAUGUACAGUUACCUGAAUAUAUCCAUCAGUAGAAAUAUUGUGCCAGAUGGAAUAAAAGGAAGAGAAAUUCACCAUUCUUUCCCAAUGACACUUUUCCAGCCUCGCACUGUCCGGCUGGACCACCAUACCCUGAGGCUCCUCAAAUAUUGGACAUGGCAAUUUGUUAUCAUUCGCCCAAUAUGCUCGAUUUUGAUGAUAACACUGCAAAUUCUUGGGAUUUAUCCCUCUUGGUUGAGUUGGACAUUCACCAUUAUCCUCAACAUUUCUGUUUCUCUGGCACUGUAUUCUCUAGUAGUGUUUUACCAUGUGUUUGCAAAGGAGUUGGCACCACACAAUCCACUUGCCAAGUUCAUGUGCAUCAAGGGGAUUGUCUUCUUUUGCUUUUGGCAGGGAUUGGUGCUUGACAUACUAGUUGCCGUGGGUGUAAUUCGAUCUCAUCAUUUCUGGUUGGAUGUGGACCACAUUGAGGAAGCUCUUCAGAAUGUCUUGGUAUGUUUGGAGAUGGUUGUAUUCUCUGUUCUCCAACAGUAUGCAUACCAUGUCGCGCCUUAUAGUGGAGACGUGGAAACAAAGAUGAAACUAAAAAAAAAA
This 909-nucleotide unclassified non-coding RNA is filed under the name Hevea brasiliensis (rubber tree). Lineage: Eukaryota; Viridiplantae; Streptophyta; Magnoliopsida; Malpighiales; Euphorbiaceae. The record is from RNAcentral.